Molecule: unclassified non-coding RNA, 358 nt
Filed under: Hevea brasiliensis (rubber tree)
Lineage: Eukaryota; Viridiplantae; Streptophyta; Magnoliopsida; Malpighiales; Euphorbiaceae
Source: RNAcentral
GCAAGAGUUCAGGGGAGAACUCGUCAGCUCUAAUGGUGGGUGAUCUGCCUUUCAAAGGGCCAGUAGCGUCAGAUCAUCCAAUGUUCUGGAACAGUGGCUAUCCUAGUUUCUUUCCUAAUGAGCAGGAAAGAGCUCCAGAUAAGAGAAUUGCAUUAGGUUCUUCACAGGGACUCCCCAACUGGGUGUGGCAAAUGCACGGUCAGGUCACUGCUACCCCAAUGACAAUGUUCUCUACUGCAGCAUCAUCAGGAUUCUCAUUUUCGGCUACGCCUCCCUCUGCUGCCAUCCUUCCAUCGAAACCUCUCAUCCCAGCAGCCCACAAUCUAUGUUUUACUCCCCCUGCCACCAUGACUACCAG